GCGGUUGAGGGCAACGCGGCUGUUGUCCGCCGCCUGCGGCGCGGCCGGCCGGAUCGUCGCCAGCGCCUGCC
RNAcentral lists this transfer RNA (71 nucleotides) under compost metagenome. RNAcentral describes it as "tRNA-Arg". The record is from RNAcentral.